GACGUAGGUGGCGAACGUUAUCCGGAAUUAUUGGGCGUAAAGGGUGCGUAGGCGGCGCGGUAAGUCGGGUGUGAAAUCUCGGGGCUUAACUCCGAAACUGCAUUCGAUACUGCCGUGCUUGAGGACUGGAGAGGAGACUGGAAUUUACGGUGUAGCGGUGAAAUGCGUAGAUAUCGUAAGGAAGACCAGUGGCGAAGGCGGGUCUCUGGACAGUUCCUGACGCUGAGGCACGAAGGCCAGGGGAGCAAACGGG
RNAcentral lists this ribosomal RNA (253 nucleotides) under uncultured bacterium. RNAcentral's name for it is "partial 16S ribosomal RNA". It matches the Rfam family "Bacterial small subunit ribosomal RNA", at positions 524 to 776 of the family's 1533-position model. The record is from RNAcentral.